ACUUCGGCGAAUUAUUUAGGGGGUCAAACGGCCUCCGAUGAUGAUGCAUGUUAUCUCUUUGGAAUUCUCUAUGAGUGUAAAAUGUUAGAUAAAAAUUUCAUCAAAUUUGAAGUCUUGAAAGUGGAUCAAAAUCGGAAUGAAGUAACCCACUGUCAGUCCGGAUUACUGUUCAUCCGGGUGGAAAAUAAGGGAUUUCAUGCUAUAAUAGAGUAUUAAGCCUAGAUCAAGCUAAAAGGAACCUUGUACUCAUGCAAGGG
RNAcentral lists this long non-coding RNA (257 nucleotides) under Phoenix dactylifera (date palm). RNAcentral's name for it is "long non-coding RNA (PDAC_LNC014126)". Lineage: Eukaryota; Viridiplantae; Streptophyta; Magnoliopsida; Arecales; Arecaceae. The record is from RNAcentral.